This is a long non-coding RNA of Engraulis encrasicolus (European anchovy), 927 nucleotides long. RefSeq lists it as uncharacterized. NCBI's taxonomy places the organism in Eukaryota, Metazoa, Chordata, Actinopteri, Clupeiformes, Engraulidae. The transcript has 7 exons. The record is from RefSeq and is a predicted model, not a curated record.
UCUGGUUUUUAAAUGGUAUUCUGAACUAAAGCAAGGAUUGUUCAAGUUAGUUGAAAAUAGACCGUCUCUGGUUAAAUUAGUUCUACACCAAGCCUUUAGGUGGCAGUAAAACUAAUUGGCACAAUGCGAAUUCCACACACAAGCCACAAAGAAGCCAUCUACCGCGGUCAACAACACUUCCUGAUUGAACAGAAUCACGCGCUGUCUGUGUGGUUUCACUGUUACAAGUUUCUUGGCGAUAUGGGGGGAAAGUUCCUCACAUACCAACGGAAAAUGGGCUUCACAUACAUGCUGCUGUCUCAUAAUAUGGCGAAGACGAGUCACCUGAAGGCCUAACUCGCCAUAGAAGACUGAAAGAAUUGUCCUGCAGGAUGCUGUGUCCUGCAAUCCUGUGUGCUGUGCUACAGACGCGUGUGGAGGUCAACCCAAAAUGGGCACAGUCUCACCACAGAAGAGUGAAAGAGGAUCCUGGCAGGGAGACGGUAGUGUCCUGCAGAAUGGUGAUGGGCCAAUCUUACAAGAGACCACAGAAAACUGAUAUAGUGAACUAUAGAAACAGAGUGCCUGCUGCAGUAUGGCGAGGACACCCUGAGCAGAGAGCUCCAAUAGACCCAGGUCCAGUGUCUUGGCAGGGUGAAAUGGCACUGAUAUGGUGUCCUGCAGGAUGCUGUGUCCUGCAAUCCUGUGUGCUGUGCUACAGACGCGUCUGGAAGCCAACCUGAAAUAAGCACAGUCUCUCCACAGAGGAGUGAAAGAGGCUCCCAGAAGUGAGACUGAGUGCCUGUUGCAGUAUGACGAGGACACAGUGACCAGAGACCUUCAGUAGACCCUUCUGGCAUGAUUGGCGGCUGAAGAACAUGAAAUCAACAGCAAUGUUUAUAAUGUUGUACAUACCUGUAUAGUCUGUAUUAAAAGGCAGUACCUGUA